This 492-nucleotide ribosomal RNA is filed under the name uncultured bacterium. Its description in RNAcentral is "partial 16S ribosomal RNA". It matches the Rfam family "Bacterial small subunit ribosomal RNA", at positions 29 to 507 of the family's 1533-position model. The record is from RNAcentral.
AGUGAACGCUGGCGGUAGGCCUAACACAUGCAAGUCGAACGGCAGCACAGUAAGAUCGCGCCCUUACGGGUGGCGGGUGGCGGACGGGUGAGGAAUACAUCGGCAUCUUCUUUUUCGUGGGUGAUAACGGAGGGCAGCUUACGCUAAUAGCGCAUAUAUCGUACGGCAUGAAGCAGGGGAGAAACGGAGCUUGCGUGAUUGUUUGAGACGCUGUCGGAUUAGCUAGUUGGCGGGGUAAGGGCCCACCAAGGCAACGAUCCGUAGCUGGUCUGAGAGGAUGAUCGGCCACACUGGAACUGAGACACGGUCCAGACUCCUACGGGAGGCAGCAGUAGGGAAUCUUGCGCAAUGGGCGCAAGCCUGACCCAGCCAUGCCGCGUGGGUGAAGAAGGCCUUCGGGUUGUAAAGCCCUUUUGUUAGGGAAGAACAGCAGCAGAUUAAUCCCCCGAUGUUCUGACGGUACCCAAAGAAUAAGCACCGGCUAACUUCGUG